GACGAACGCUGGCGGCGUGCUUAACACAUGCAAGUCGAACGGAAAGGCCCUGCUUUUGUGGGGUGCUCGAGUGGCGAACGGGUGAGUAACACGUGAGUAACCUGCCCUUGACUUUGGGAUAACUUCAGGAAACUGGGGCUAAUACCGGCUAGGAGCGCCUGCUGCAUGGUGGGGGUUGGAAAGUUUCGGCGGUUGGGGAUGGACUCGAGGCUUAUCAGCUGGUUGGUGGGGUAGUGGCUUACCAAGGCUUUGGCGGGUGGCCGGCCUGAGAGGGUGACCGGCCACAUGGGGACUAAGAUACGGCCCAGACUCCAACAGGGGGCAGCAGUGGAGAAUAUUGCACAAUGGGCGGAAGCCUGAUGCAGCAACGCCGCGUGCGGGAUGACGGCCUUCGGGUUGUAAACCGCUUUCGCCUGUGACGAAGCGUGAGUGACGGUAAUGGGUAAAGAAGCACCGGCUAACUACGUG
RNAcentral lists this ribosomal RNA (468 nucleotides) under uncultured bacterium. Its description in RNAcentral is "partial 16S ribosomal RNA". It matches the Rfam family "Bacterial small subunit ribosomal RNA", at positions 28 to 507 of the family's 1533-position model. The record is from RNAcentral.